RNAcentral lists this ribosomal RNA (798 nucleotides) under uncultured bacterium. RNAcentral describes it as "bacterial SSU rRNA". It matches the Rfam family "Bacterial small subunit ribosomal RNA", at positions 39 to 837 of the family's 1533-position model. The record is from RNAcentral.
GCGGUAAGCUUUCCAUGCAAGUCGAACGGUAACAGGUCUUCCGAUGCUGACGAGUGGGGAACGGGUGAGUAAUAUAUCUCAACGUGCCCCCUCUUGGGGGAUAUCGUAUCGAAAGUUACGCUAAUACCGCAUACAAUCUACGGAUGAAAGCGGGGGAUCUCAAGACCUCUCGCGAUUGUGGCGGCCGAUAUCACAUUAUGUAUUUGGUGGGGUAAAGGCUCCCCCCGCCCACAAUCUGUGUCUGUUCUGAGAGGACAACCUCCCCCACUGGAACUGAGACACGGUCCCCACUCCUACAGGAGGCAGCAGUGGGGAAUUUUGGACAAUGGACGCAAGUCUGAUCCCCCCAUUCCCCGUGCGCGAUGAAAGCCCUCUCGUUGUAAACUGUUUUUGUACGGAACGAAAAGGUUUCCUUUAAUACUGGAAGCUCUUGACAGUACCGUAAGAAUAAACACCGGCUAACUACAUGCCACCACCCGCGGUAAUACAUAUGGUGCGAGCGUUAAUCUCAAUUACUGGGCGUAAAGCGUGCGCACGCGGUUAUAUAAGACAGAUGUGAGAUCUCCGGGCUCUCCUGUGAACUGUGUUUGUGACUGUAUAUCUAUAGUACGGUAGAGAGGGAUGGAAUUCCGCGUGUGUCACUGAAAUGCGUAUAUAUGCGGAGAAGCACCGAUGGCGAAAGCGAUCUCCUGUACGUGUGCUGACGCUCAUGUGCGAAAGCGUGUGGAGCAAACAGGAUUAUAUACCCUGUUAGUCCACGCCCUAUACGAUGUCUACUGGGGUGUUGGGGUCUUCUCU